UACGAAGGGGGCUAGCGUUGCUCGGAAUGACUGGGCGUAAAGGGCGCGUAGGCGGAUGGCACAGUCAGAUGUGAAAUUCCCGGGCUCAACCUGGGGGCUGCAUUUGAUACGUGUUGUCUAGAGUGAGGAAGAGGGUUGUGGAAUUCCCAGUGUAGAGGUGAAAUUCGUAGAUAUUGGGAAGAACACCGGUGGCGAAGGCGGCAACCUGGUCCUUGACUGACGCUGAGGCGCGAAAGCGUGGGGAGCAAACAGG
Molecule: ribosomal RNA, 253 nt
Filed under: uncultured bacterium
Lineage: Bacteria
Description: partial 16S ribosomal RNA
Rfam family: Bacterial small subunit ribosomal RNA
Source: RNAcentral